CUUGGUCAUUUAGAGGAGUAAAAGUCGUAACAAGGUUUCCGUAGGUGAACCUGCGGAAGGAUCAUUAUCGAAAUUAUUGGUGAGGGUUGUAGCUGGCCUUUCGAGGCAUGUGCACGCUCGAGCCCUUAAUCCACUUUACACCUGUGCACUUAAUGUAGGUCGCCCUUAAAAAAGGUGACCUAUGUCUUAUCAUCAACCCAUCGUAUGUCUCAUAGAAUGUAAUCGAUAUCCUCGCCCUGAAAAAGCGUUGAUAAACUUAUACAACUUUCAACAACGGAUCUCUUGGCUCUCGCAUCGAUGAAGAACGCAGCGAAAUGCGAUAAGUAAUGUGAAUUGCAGAUUUUCAGUGAAUCAUCGAAUCUUUGAACGCACCUUGCGCUCCUUGAUAUUCCGAGGAGCAUGCCUGUUUGAGUGUCAUUAAAUUCUCAACUCCAAGGGUUUCACGACCUUUCGGAGAUUGGACUUGGAGGUGCUGGCCGCAUAUUGGUCGGCUCCUCUCAAAUGCAUCAGCGGAAUUCAACCUUUGGCUUCCGGAUGUCAGUGUGAUAAUCAUGUUGCGCUGUCGUUUGAUCCCUCAGAGUCCGCUUAUAAUGGUCUUCGGACAAAAUCAUCAUCAAAUUUGACCUCAAAUCAGGUAGGACUACCCGCUGAACUUAAGCAUAUCAAUAAGCGGAGGA
This 677-nucleotide ribosomal RNA is filed under the name uncultured fungus. Its description in RNAcentral is "eukaryotic LSU rRNA". The stretch from base 263 to 417 matches the Rfam family "5.8S ribosomal RNA". Lineage: Eukaryota; Fungi. The record is from RNAcentral.